RNAcentral lists this microRNA precursor (104 nucleotides) under Orobanche cernua var. cumana. Lineage: Eukaryota; Viridiplantae; Streptophyta; Magnoliopsida; Lamiales; Orobanchaceae. The record is from RNAcentral.
CAACCAGGUUACUUAAUGUAUAGCCAAGGAUGACUUGCCGGUUAAUGAGAAAAAAAAAGGUCGAAAAUCGACGAGUUAUCUUUGGCUAUAUAUCUGUCUGGUUC